RNAcentral lists this ribosomal RNA (253 nucleotides) under uncultured bacterium. RNAcentral describes it as "partial 16S ribosomal RNA". It matches the Rfam family "Bacterial small subunit ribosomal RNA", at positions 524 to 776 of the family's 1533-position model. The record is from RNAcentral.
UACAUGGGGUGCAAACGUUGCUCGGAAUUAUUGGGCGUAAAGCGCACGUAGGCGGAUCGUUAAGUCGGGGGUGAAAUCCUGGAGCUCAACUCCAGAACUGCCUUCGAUACUGGCGAUCUUGAGUCCGGAAGAGGUGAGUGGAACUCCUAGUGUAGAGGUGGAAUUCGUAGAUAUUAGGAAGAACACCAGUGGCGAAGGCGGCUCACUGGUCCGGUACUGACGCUGAGGUGCGAAAGCGUGGGGAGCAAACAGG